GAUGAACGCUGGCGGCGUGCCUAAUACAUGCAAGUCGAGCGGUAAGGCCCCUUCGGGGGGUACACGAGCGGCGGACGGCUGAGUAACGCGUAGGAACGUACCCCAAAGUGAGGGAUAACUGCUCGAAAGAGUAGCUAAUACCGCAUGUGCUCUAAGGAGUAAAGCUUCGGCGCUUUGGGAACGGCCUGCGUAAGAUUAGCUUGUUGGUGAGGUAAUGGCUCACCAAGGCGACGAUCUAGCUGGUCUGAGAGGAUGAUCAGCCAGACUGGGACUGAGACACGGCCCAGACUCCUACGGGAGGCAGCAGUAGGGAAUUUUCCACAAUGGCGAAAGCCUGAUGGAGCAACGCCGCGUGCAGGAUGAAGGCUCUCGGGU
This 375-nucleotide ribosomal RNA is filed under the name uncultured bacterium. Its description in RNAcentral is "bacterial SSU rRNA". It matches the Rfam family "Bacterial small subunit ribosomal RNA", at positions 28 to 423 of the family's 1533-position model. The record is from RNAcentral.